CCUUAGAGUUUGAUCCUGGCUCAGGAUGAACGCUGGCGGCGUGCUUAACACAUGCAAGUCGAACGGACUUAGAUGAAACCUAGUGAUUCUAAGUUAGUGGCGGACGGGUGAGUAACGCGUGGGUAACCUGCCGUAUACAGGGGGAUAACACUUAGAAAUAGGUGCUAAAACCGCAUAAGCGCACAGCAUCGCAUGAUGCAGUGUGAAAAACUCCGGUGGUAUACGAUGGACCCGCGUCUGAUUAGCUAGUUGGUGAGAUAGCGGCCCACCAAGGCAACGAUCAGUAGCCGGCCUGAGAGGGUGAACGGCCACAUUGGGACUGAGACACGGCCCAAACUCCUACGGGAGGCAGCAGUGGGGAAUAUUGCACAAUGGGGGAAACCCUGAUGCAGCGACGCCGCGUGAGUGAAGAAGUAUUUCGGUAUGUAAAGCUCUAUCAGCAGGAAAGAAAAUGACGGUACCUGACUAAGAAGCCCCGGCUAACUACGUGCCAGCAGCCGCGGUAAUACGUAGGGGGCAAGCGUUAUCCGGAUUUACUGGGUGUAAAGGGAGCGUAGACGGUAGUACAAGUCUGAAGUGAAAUGCGGGGGCUCACCCCCUGAACUGCUUUGGAAACUGUAUUACUAGAGUGCAGGAGAGGGAAGGUGAAUUCCUAGUGUAGCGGUGAAAUGCGUAAAUAUUAGGAAGAACCCCCGGGGGCGAAAGGGGCUUUAUGGGACUGUAACUGACUUGGAGGCUUCGAAGGCGGGGGGGAACAAAACAGGA
RNAcentral lists this ribosomal RNA (765 nucleotides) under uncultured bacterium. RNAcentral describes it as "bacterial SSU rRNA". It matches the Rfam family "Bacterial small subunit ribosomal RNA", at positions 1 to 777 of the family's 1533-position model. The record is from RNAcentral.